GUGCCAGCAGCCGCGGUAAUACGGAGGAUCCAAGCGUUAUCCGGAAUCAUUGGGUUUAAAGGGUCCGUAGGCGGGACAAUAAGUCAGUGGUGAAAGUCUGCAGCUCAACUGUAGAACUGCCAUUGAUACUGUUGUCCUUGAGUAAUUAUGAAGUGGUUAGAAUAUGUAGUGUAGCGGUGAAAUGCAUAGAUAUUACAUAGAAUACCGAUUGCGAAGGCAGAUCACUAAUAAUUUACUGACGCUGAUGGACGAAAGCGUAGGUAGCGAACAGGAUUAGAUACCCUGGUAGUCC
RNAcentral lists this ribosomal RNA (292 nucleotides) under uncultured bacterium. Its description in RNAcentral is "partial 16S ribosomal RNA". It matches the Rfam family "Bacterial small subunit ribosomal RNA", at positions 505 to 796 of the family's 1533-position model. The record is from RNAcentral.